Molecule: ribosomal RNA, 333 nt
Filed under: uncultured bacterium
Lineage: Bacteria
Description: bacterial SSU rRNA
Rfam family: Bacterial small subunit ribosomal RNA
Source: RNAcentral
CGCGUAGGCGGUUUAACAAGUCAGAUGUGAAAGCCCGGGGCUUAACCCCGGAAGUGCAUUUGAAACUGUUAGACUAGAGUGCAGUAGAGGUUGGUGGAAUUCCCAGUGGAGAGGUGAAAUUCGUAGAUAUUGGGAGGAACACCGGUGGCGAAGGCGGCCAACUGGGCUGUAACUGACGCUGAGGCGCGAGAGCGUGGGUAGCAAACAGGAUUAGAUACCCUGGUAGUCCACGCUGUAAACUAUGGAUGCUCGCUGUGGCUGGUAUUGACCCCGGCCGUAGCCAAGUUAACACGUUAAGUAUCCCGCCUGGGAAGUACGGUCGCAAGAUUAAAA